Molecule: long non-coding RNA, 4149 nt
Organism: Asterias rubens (European starfish)
Lineage: Eukaryota; Metazoa; Echinodermata; Asteroidea; Forcipulatida; Asteriidae
Exons: 4
Source: RefSeq, a predicted model, not a curated record
AUGCUGUAUAAUAACGACCAAAUAAAUUAGAAGGCUGGAUUUCUGCACAAAAAUAAUAUUGGAAAAAGUCAUACAAAUUGAACUUUGAUAGCGCCCUCUAUUGACAGGCUAAUUUCAUUACGAUUCAAGUUAUAUCGCCAAUUGUUCUUCAUCAAUGUUCUCCAAUAAUUUCACGAAAUCGCCUUAAAAAUCACAGAUUAUUCUUCAUCCAUCAACCAGUUAAUUCUCGCCCGUGCGUGCAGUAUAAAAUACAGUACUCUUACCUUCAUUGGUGAUGAUCAGUGUUGUAGCCACGGUGGGCGACGGUGGGCGGGCCUGCCCAGUACUGACAAUUUCCGCCCAGCACUUCAGCUGAAAAACAGACUUCCAAUACCACAACUAGUUCCAAUGGGAAGAGGUUGAAUCAAGGAAGAGGCUGAGUGAGAAGAAUGCAGAGGACUUGAAGCAUAUGGAUAAAAGACGAAGAGACAACCAGGAGCUCCACAGGUCUACAAGAGACAUGACCUGAAAAGCUCAUAGUAGAAUGAGAAGAUGGAAAACCUCUUCAAUUGUUUGAGUUCUGCUCAGAUUUUGUUUGGCGAUGAGUGAUGUUCAGGUAAUACUGAUUUGAAUUAUCAUGACAACAAUGACCAAUGGUCCAUGUAUACAAAAAUAUUUCUUUUAACAGUACUAAAGAAUGAUCCACACAGAUAUAUCUUGGCUAUAAAUUGUGUUUUUUUCCUGCCUUUUUGGAGAACAAUAUUGUUUACUCCACAAAUAUACGAACAACAGUUUACGUAUUAUAGAUAGCCUUUUAUUGGGACCCUUUGAGUUUUGUAUGUGUAAAUGUAGAAAGAGGUAGCUUCAAGAUGAUAUACAAGUAGGGGGUAUGAGAGAACAAUGGCAAAUACCAAACCACAUUAAAAACGAAAAUCUUAUUGAAAAACAGAGGGGUUUGAUCUUAAAAGAACAAAAGCCACACUCCUGUCAGCAACAAUAGAAAAAAAAUGCCACCCUACUACAUGGAAGAGCGUAUUUAUCAGUUCAUACUGUUGUAAAUCUGUUCUGGUGGCUGUUAUCCUUGCUCACCACAGAAGUUUGUUAGAAAUCCAGGUCAGUUAAGUUGAUGUUCAAAAACUUUAUUUGUAGAUAUGGUUGAACAGAGUGCGAAAUAUCUUCAUGUUUGAUGGGAAAUCAAGCAUCAUCAUUAUUUGUGUCAUGGUCGGUUCUGCACUCAAGCUUGCAAGAAGAAGAUUGGAAUCAGGUCAGUGCAUUGUAUCAAUGAGAAUGGGUCAUUUUUAUUGUUUACGCAUAAUUUACAUGAUGUUGUUAAAUGGACCAUGCAAUCGCCACAAAAACAUAAUAUCAAAGAUAUCAUGAGAGGCGUUGUUUGGAGAUGAUGGAAUCUUCUUUUGUGUGUAUGUUGGUGAAGAUAGAGACUAUACAUUCGUCAGAACCCCUGAAGAAUGUGUUUGUCAAUAUAAGUUAUGGUAUCCUUGUUCUUUUUGUCUUGCCUAAAAAGGCGCACGAUACUGCACAAUCUUUGAGGUAUCCAUGGUACCACAUUGAUUCCCAAAAUUGCAACAAAGAUUUUUAUCAUGUACUCUUUAUUUUACUUAUCAAGUAAGAAAACCUGAAGGGAAACUUACUUGGUAGAUCUUAAACAACUUAGGUUUGAACAAGGAAAAGUUUACUCGAGCGGCCCGCCUCAGUACAAUUUUCUCUGUUCAAACCCCAUUGCUUUACUUUACUUGCAGUAGUCAUUGAGAAUGAGACAUUCAUAAGAUGUGCGAGAAGAUUUGCGACAAGAUGUGCAGGGAGGCAGCCCAGCAGGACCUGAUGCAAACGCUGUUGAAGAGGUUCGAGCCCUUAAAGAACCUUUUGAUGCCAAGAAGCUUUUCUGUAGUGAAAUCCUUGCCAUCAUCCAGCAAGACACACAAGACAAACAAGUUGCAGUCCUUCGAAAAUUUAGGUAAACACAAUUUAACUUUUCUUUUACAUUCCAAGUUGUGUAUGAUUUUACUGUCCAUGUUUUUUUUUAGUGUACUUAGGCCUUGUGUACAAUCAAAUUUUGCCUCAAAAUGUUUGCAAGGGUACACUGUAAAACUUUGCCCUUAAAAAUUACAGUAAUUUACUGUCAGCUGAGUUGCCAGUAAGUUAGUGUGAUUUUUACCGUCAUUACUGUAUAUAAAUUUUAAAACAAAUAAGUAAAAACAAAGUUUGGAGUUUUAACACACUUCUAUUGUAGCACAACUAGCUAGUGUACCCACAACAUGUUUAGAAUAUUGUGUGGUUUGGAUCCUACAAACUGUUUUGUUAAGCAGGUGUCAAAUUGAAAACAUAAUUUAAACAUGUUGAAUUUAAAUUACUGACGAAAAGUGAUUUGUGUGUAACCGGAUUUUGUACAGAAUUCAGUUCAUUUAAUAUUGAAGAAUAUUGAUGUAAACACACUGCCUACUGCAUGGAUGCUUUGUUCAAGUUAAAUCAUCCAACAGGGGAACUGUUUUACAAAGAUGUAGGAGAAAUAUGAGACAAACUCAGCUUCUUUGUGUUACUUGUGAUCAUCACUUGUCUAAUCCAUACCACGAAAUUAGUAAAGGAUCUUUUUCAAGUACAAUUUGUGUGUCAGCAGGCAUGAUAUGAGUUUUGUUGUUAAACAGCAAAAUACUUUCGAGCUAAAUAGAGCCCCAAGGGAAAAAGGCCCUACAACGUGAAUGGGGUAAAGCAGACUUAUAGAAGGGUGGAGUUAAAAACUAAACUAACUCCCCAGUGACUGGCUAGGCAUGCUAAACAAAGGGACAGCUCCCCAAAGCUUUGGCUACCCAAACAACACCCAAAUACUAGAGCGACAGUCCCCUCCCUGGAGGAAAAACUAUAUACAUGUAUGAUGAAAUAAAAAUUAGAACAAAUAAAAAGGUCAAAAUUUACAAGUAAGAAAGAGUUACAAAAAAUAUGGACAGUUAAAAAACUGGACAGAGUUAAAAAACUAUUCAAGUAACUUCAUGAAAUUGGCAGACAGAAAAUCUAACUGAUUUGAGGAAACUGUAGUAUUUUAAAUCGUUUUUAAAGUUUGUUAUUUUUUACUUAUUUAUCUUCAUCUUAUUAGUUAUUUAUAUUUUUUGGGUAUAAUUAUCUGCUGAUGUUAUUAGUUUGUGUCAUAUAUUACGUUUAAAUCUAUAUUCAUAAAUACCCCAGACAGUUUCGCUACUCCUAUUGGUUGAGAGCGCGUCACGUGGUGGUGUUUAAACGGCUGAUAAAAACACAUGGGCGCGCAAGCUCAUGUACUCCAACUUAACUUACACGGAAUGCAAUUCAUAGCUAUUUAUUAGUAAUAUCGCGUUAUCGCUAUUGUGAUAGUUACUAAAAUUUGUACUUACCAAGGUUUGCCUGAAAUUGUGUAUUAGGUCUUGUGUUCUGAUAAAAAUUUUGCCUGAAAUUAUGAAAUUUGCCAGAAACUGUGUACAAGGCUAUUGUACUUCAGCCUCCUGUACUAAAAUUUCAAUGUUGCCGAAAAUGUGUGUACAAUGCUUUAUAUAGCCUUGUUUACUUAUAAAACUUUGCCUGAAAAUGUGUACAAAUGUGCUACAUGUAUAGCAUUUGCUACAAAAUGUGUACAAGGCUUGUGUGUUUGGAAAUGUGUUUAAAGCCAUUAUACACUUUCAGUACAGAAAAAAACACUUAGCUUGAAAAUGUAAGAGCUAUAGUACUUACUAGACUGGUGCAUAUGCCUUGUGUAGUUGUCAAAUUUUGCUUGAAAAUGUUUACAAGGCCUUGUGUACUUUUUUUCUUAAAAUUAUCAAAUUUUGCCUGAAACUGUGUCUCAAACCUAUAUAAAAAUAAUAUAGCCUUGUACAGUUGCCAUAUUUUGCCUGACAGUUAUCAAACCUUGCCUGAAACUGACAAGGCUUAAGAAAUGUGUGUUAGCAAGUUUGGUUGACAAUAUGUUUGUGCUUUUGUGUUGAAAACUAUAGCCUUGUGUACAAAUUCUGAAUUAUCACAUUUUGCCUGAAAAUAUGUACAAGCCUUGCGUACUUACAAAAGUGUUGCUCUUAAACUAAAACUGUCGAACUAUUGUGUACAAGACUAUAGCCUUGUGUACUUCAUCAAAUUUUGCCUGAAAUGAUCAAAUUUUGCCUGAAAAUAAGUACACAAGCCUUUUGUACUGAUCAA